RNAcentral lists this long non-coding RNA (633 nucleotides) under Salmo salar (Atlantic salmon). Its description in RNAcentral is "lncRNA (ENSSSAG00000094193.1)". The record is from RNAcentral. Lineage: Eukaryota; Metazoa; Chordata; Actinopteri; Salmoniformes; Salmonidae.
GGAAACCCAGAGAGAGAGGUCCAGAAAACAAGGCGCACAUUAACGUUACAUUACAAAGUGCCUGGAAAUAUGUCACACAUACUGGAAGAAGCAUGUGUUUAGGGUGUGCCACAGUCCGUGGACCCAGAACCCUUCAUCCAUAACCCAUCCUUCCUGCUCCCCCUGUGCUCUGCUAGACUUCCGGGUCCAGCCCCAGAGCAACCCUGCAAGGCCACUCACCGCCCUGUGUAGGAGGAAUGAUGUUCCUUGGCCCUCAGCCCCCCUGCGCCUCCCCCCUCCAGCAGUACCGCACUGCAGCUACACUCCACAACAGGGUUCUCACUGCUUAGAUGCAUGAAAGUCAAAGAGGUAGCUACUGCUGCACAGGCACAUGACUGUCCAGGGACUACGGACAUGAGACUGAAACCACCUUGGGCAAGCAGCAGAAACAGAGCCCCACUCUAAUCUUCAUCUGUCCUCCUACAGUUUCAUUAUAUCUAUUUUACAGAAGAUCCUCUGUACUGUCAGCUUUGGCAUCUAUUGGUUGCCUGUUUAAAUACAUUGUACAUGGUUAAAUGGUCACAAAUGUCAACAUUACUCAAUUGGAUAAAAUAAAAAAAACAUAUAAAAAAAUUCAAAAAUUAAAUAGGCAGG